GAUGAAGAACGCAGCGAAAUGCGAUAAGUAAUGUGAAUUGCAGAAUUCAGUGAAUCAUCGAAUCUUUGAACGCACAUUGCGCCCGCCAGUAUUCUGGCGGGCAUGCCUGUUCGAGCGUCAUUACAACCCUCAGGCCCCCGGGCCUGGCGUUGGGGAUCGGCGGAAGCCCCCUGCGGGCACAACGCCGUCCCCCAAAUACAGUGGCGGUCCCGCCGCAGCUUCCAUUGCGUAGUAGCUAACACCUCGCAACUGGAGAGCGGCGCGGCCACGCCGUAAAACACCCAACUUCUGAAUGUUGACCUCGAAGCAGGUAGGAAUACCCGCUGAACUUAAGCAUAUUAAUAAGCGGAGGA
RNAcentral lists this unclassified non-coding RNA (353 nucleotides) under soil metagenome. RNAcentral's name for it is "partial contains 5.8S ribosomal RNA, internal transcribed spacer 2, and large subunit ribosomal RNA". The stretch from base 1 to 120 matches the Rfam family "5.8S ribosomal RNA", at positions 35 to 154 of the family's 154-position model. The record is from RNAcentral.